CUUUACUGUAGCCUGGAAUUGGCUUCGGGCUUCGCUUGCGCAGGAUAGGUGGGAAGCGUUGAAAGUCCCCUCGCGGGGGGACUGGAGCUAACGGUGAGAUACCACUCUGGCGAGGCUAGAAUUCUAACCCUGACCCGUAAUCCGGGCGGGAGACAGUUUCAGGUGGGCAGUUUGACUGGGGCGGUCGCCUCCUAAAAGGUAACGGAGGCGCGCAAAGGUUCCCUCGGUCCCGUUGGAAAUGGGACGAUAGAGUGCAAAAGCAGAAGGGAGCUUGACUGUGAGACCCACAAGUCGAACAGGGACGAAAGUCGGCUUUAGUGAUCCGACGGCACCGCGUGGAAGGGCCGUCGCUCAACGGAUAAAAGUUA
RNAcentral lists this ribosomal RNA (368 nucleotides) under uncultured organism. RNAcentral describes it as "bacterial LSU rRNA". It matches the Rfam family "Bacterial large subunit ribosomal RNA", at positions 2099 to 2465 of the family's 2925-position model. The record is from RNAcentral.